AUACGGAGGAUGCAAGCGUUAUCCGGAUUUAUUGGGUUUAAAGGGUGCGUAGGCGGUUUGCUAAGCGGGAGGUGAAAUGCCGGCGCUCAACGUCGGAAGUGCCUCCCGAACUGGUGGACUUGAAUGACUCUGCCGUGGGAGGAAUGUGUAGUGUAGCGGUGAAAUGCUUAGAGAUUACACAGAACACCGAUUGCGAAGGCAUCUCACGAAGGGUUGAUUGACGAUGAGGCACGAAAGCGUGAGGAUCAAACAGUAUUAGAUACCCUGGUAGUCCACGCAGUAAACGAUGAUGGCUAACCGCUGGGCUUAGCAGUUCAGUGGCCAAGCGAAAGCGAUAAGCCAUCCACCUGGGGAGUACGACCGCAAGGUUGAAACUCAAAUGAAUUGACGGGG
RNAcentral lists this ribosomal RNA (393 nucleotides) under uncultured bacterium. Its description in RNAcentral is "partial 16S ribosomal RNA". It matches the Rfam family "Bacterial small subunit ribosomal RNA", at positions 523 to 918 of the family's 1533-position model. The record is from RNAcentral.